RNAcentral lists this ribosomal RNA (255 nucleotides) under uncultured bacterium. Its description in RNAcentral is "partial 16S ribosomal RNA". It matches the Rfam family "Bacterial small subunit ribosomal RNA", at positions 524 to 776 of the family's 1533-position model. The record is from RNAcentral.
UACGUAGGGCGCAAGCGUUGUCCGGAAUUAUUGGGCGUAAAGAGCUCGUAGGCGGUCUGUCGCGUCUGCCCGUGAAAACCCGAGGCUUAACCUCGGGCUGGCGGUGGAUACGGGCAGACUAGAGGUAGGUAGGGGAGAAUGGAAUUCCCGGUGUAGCGGUGAAAAUGCGCAGAUAUCGGGAGGAACACCGGUGGCGAAGGCAGGUCUCUGGGCCAUAACUGACGCUGAGAAGCGAAAGCAUGGGGAGCGAACAGG